This 392-nucleotide ribosomal RNA is filed under the name uncultured bacterium. RNAcentral describes it as "partial 16S ribosomal RNA". It matches the Rfam family "Bacterial small subunit ribosomal RNA", at positions 338 to 722 of the family's 1533-position model. The record is from RNAcentral.
CCUACGGGAGGCAGCAGUGGGGAAUUUUGGACAAUGGGCGCAAGCCUGAUCCAGCUAUUCCGCGUGUGGGAUGAAGGCCCUCGGGUUGUAAACCACUUUUGUAGAGAACGAAAAGACACCUUUUAAUAAAAGGUGUUGCUGACGGUACUCUAAGGAUAAGCACCGGCUAACUACGUGCCAGCAGCCGCGGUAAUGCGUAGGGUGCGAGCGUUAAGCGGAAUGACUGGGCGUAAAGGGUGCGCAGGCGGUUGGGUAAGACAGUUGGGAAAUCCCCGGGCUUAACUUGGGAAUGGCAAAUGUGACUGCUCGACUAGAGUGUGUCAGAGGCAGGUGGAAUUCCACGUGUAGCAGUGAAAUGCGUAGAUAUGUGGAAGAACACCGAUGGCGAAGGC